This 305-nucleotide unclassified non-coding RNA is filed under the name plant metagenome. RNAcentral describes it as "partial contains 5.8S ribosomal RNA, internal transcribed spacer 2, and large subunit ribosomal RNA". The stretch from base 1 to 105 matches the Rfam family "5.8S ribosomal RNA", at positions 50 to 154 of the family's 154-position model. The record is from RNAcentral.
GAAAUGCGAUAAGUAGUGUGAAUUGCAGAAUUCAGUGAAUCAUCGAAUCUUUGAACGCACAUUGCGCCCUUUGGUAUUCCUUAGGGCAUGCCUGUUCGAGCGUCAUCUAAACCUUCAAGCCCUGCUUGGUGUUGGGUGCCUGUCCCGCCUCCGCGCGCGGACUCACAUCAAAUCCAUUGGCGGCCCCCGCGUCGGCCACGAGCGCAGCAGAAACGCGAACUCGUGAGCCCGUCCGGGCGGCUCCCAGAAGCUACACCCACCCAGUUUGACCUCGGAUCAGGUAGGGAUACCCGCUGAACUUAAGC